CCUACGGGAGGCAGCAGUGGGGAAUCUUGCGCAAUGGGCGAAAGCCUGACGCAGCAACGCCGCGUGCGGGAAGAAGGCUUUCGGGCUGUAAACCGCUUUCAGCAGGAACGAAAAUGACGGUACCUGCAGAAGAAGGAGCGGCCAACUAUGUGCCAGCAGCCGCGGUGAUACAUAGGCUUCAAGCGUUGUCCGGAUUUAUUGGGCGUAAAGAGUUCGUAGGCGGUCAAGUAAGUCGGGUGUGAAAAUUCUGGGCUCAACCCAGAGACGCCACCCGAUACUGCUUAACUUGAGUUCGAUAGGGGAGUGGGGAAUUCCUAGUGUAGCGGUGAAAUGCGCAGAUAUUAGGAGGAACACCGGUGGCGAAGGCGCCACUCUGGAUCGAUACUGACGCUGAGGAACGAAAGCAUGGGUAGCAAACAGGAUUAGAUACCCUGGUAGUCCAUGCCGUAAACGGUGGGCACUAGGUGUGGGUUUCUAUUAACGAAAUCCGCGCCGUCGCUAACGCAUUAAGUGCCCCGCCUGGGGAGUACGGUCGCAAGACUAAAACUCAAAGGAUUGACGG
Molecule: ribosomal RNA, 562 nt
Filed under: uncultured bacterium
Lineage: Bacteria
Description: bacterial SSU rRNA
Rfam family: Bacterial small subunit ribosomal RNA
Source: RNAcentral